CUCAGUGGUCAGGAUGAUUAUUGGGCCUAAAGCAUCCGUAGCCGGCUCUGUAAGUUUUCGGUUAAAUCUGUACGCUCAACGUACAGGCUGCCGGGAAUACUGCAGAGCUAGGGAGUGGGAGAGGUAGACGGUACUCGGGAGGAAGUGGUAAAAUGCUUUGAUCUCUCGAUGACCACCUGUGGCGAAGGCGGUCUACCAGAACACGUCCGACGGUGAGGGAGAAAGCA
Molecule: ribosomal RNA, 227 nt
Filed under: uncultured marine group I thaumarchaeote
Lineage: Archaea; Thermoproteati; Nitrososphaerota
Description: partial 16S ribosomal RNA
Rfam family: Archaeal small subunit ribosomal RNA
Source: RNAcentral